GACGAACGCUGGCGGCGUGCUUAACACAUGCAAGUCGAACGGAAAGGCCCUGCUUUUGUGGGGUGCUCGAGUGGCGAACGGGUGAGUAACACGUGAGUAACCUGCCCUUGACUUUGGGAUAACUUCAGGAAACUGGGGCUAAUACCGGAUAGGAGCUCCUGCUGCAUGGUGGGGGUUGGAAAGUUUCGGCGGUUGGGGAUGGACUCGCGGCUUAUCAGCUUGUUGGUGGGGUAGUGGCUUACCAAGGCUUUGACGGGUAGCCGGCCUGAGAGGGUGACCGGCCACAUGGGGACUGAGAUACGGCCCAGACUCCUACGGGAGGCAGCAGUGGGGAAUAUUGCACAAGGGGCGGAAGCCUGAUGCAGCAACGCCGCGUGCGGGAUGACGGCCUUCGGGUUGUAAACCGCCUUCGCCUGUGACGAAGCGUGAGUGACGGUAAUGGGUAAAGAAGCACCGGCUAACUACGU
This 467-nucleotide ribosomal RNA is filed under the name uncultured bacterium. RNAcentral's name for it is "partial 16S ribosomal RNA". It matches the Rfam family "Bacterial small subunit ribosomal RNA", at positions 28 to 506 of the family's 1533-position model. The record is from RNAcentral.